GGGGCUGUAGCUCAGUUGGUAGAGCACGUCGUUCGCAACGACGGGGUCAGGGGUUCGAUUCCCCUCAGCUCCA
Molecule: transfer RNA, 73 nt
Filed under: Chlamydiota bacterium
Lineage: Bacteria; Pseudomonadati; Chlamydiota
Description: Chlamydiae bacterium (groundwater metagenome) tRNA-Ala
Rfam family: tRNA
About the family: Transfer RNA (tRNA) molecules are approximately 80 nucleotides in length.
Source: RNAcentral